RNAcentral lists this ribosomal RNA (1343 nucleotides) under uncultured bacterium. RNAcentral describes it as "16S ribosomal RNA". It matches the Rfam family "Bacterial small subunit ribosomal RNA", at positions 28 to 1378 of the family's 1533-position model. The record is from RNAcentral.
GACGAACGCUGGCGGCGUGCUUAACACAUGCAAGUCGAACGGAAAGGCCCUGCUUUUGUGGGGUGCUCGAGUGGCGAACGGGUGAGUAACACGUGAGUAACCUGCCCUUGACUUUGGGAUAACUUCAGGAAACUGGGGCUAAUACCGGAUAGGAGCUCCUGCUGCAUGGUGGGGGUUGGAAAGUUUCGGCGGUUGGGGAUGGACUCGCGGCUUAUCAGCUUGUUGGUGGGGUAGUGGCUUACCAAGGCUUUGACGGGUAGCCGGCCUGAGAGGGUGACCGGCCACAUUGGGACUGAGAUACGGCCCAGACUCCUACGGGAGGCAGCAGUGGGGAAUAUUGCACAAUGGGCGGAAGCCUGAUGCAGCAACGCCGCGUGCGGGAUGACGGCCUUCGGGUUGUAAACCGCUUUCGCCUGUGACGAAGCGUGAGUGACGGUAAUGGGUAAAGAAGCACCGGCUAACUACGUGCCAGCAGCCGCGGUGAUACGUAGGGUGCGGGCGUUGUCCGGAUUUAUUGGGCGUAAAGGGCUCGUAGGUGGUUGAUCGCGUCGGAAGUGUAAUCUUGGGGCUUAACCCUGAGCGUGCUUUCGAUACGGGUUGACUUGAGGAAGGUAGGGGAGAAUGGAAUUCCUGGUGGAGCGGUGGAAUGCGCAGAUAUCAGGAGGAACACCAGUGGCGAAGGCGGUUCUCUGGGCCUUUCCUGACGCUGAGGAGCGAAAGCGUGGGGAGCGAACAGGCUUAGAUACCCUGGUAGUCCACGCUGUAAACGGUGGGUACUAGGCGUGGGGUCCAUUCCACGGGUUCCGUGCCGUAGCUAACGCUUUAAGUACCCCGCCUGGGGAGUACGGCCGCAAGGCUAAAACUCAAAGGAAUUGACGGGGCCCCGCACAAGCGGCGGAGCAUGCGGAUUAAUUCGAUGCAACGCGUAGAACCUUACCUGGGUUUGACAUGGAUCGGGAGUGCUCAGAGAUGGGUGUGCCUCUUUUGGGGUCGGUUCACAGGUGGUGCAUGGCUGUCGUCAGCUCGUGUCGUGAGAUGUUGGGUUAAGUCCCGCAACGAGCGCAACCCUUGUUCACUGUUGCCAGCACGUUAUGGUGGGGACUCAGUGGAGACCGCCGGGGUCAACUCGGAGGAAGGUGGGGAUGACGUCAAGUCAUCAUGCCCCUUAUGUCCAGGGCUUCACGCAUGCUACAAUGGCUGGUACAGAGAGUGGCGAGCCUGUGAGGGUGAGCGAAUCUCGGAAAGCCGGUCUCAGUUCGGAUUGGGGUCUGCAACUCGACCUCAUGAAGUCGGAGUCGCUAGUAAUCGCAGAUCAGCAACGCUGCGGUGAAUACGUUCCCGGG